AACGAACGCUGGCGGCAUGCCUAACACAUGCAAGUCGAACGAGACCUUCGGGUCUAGUGGCGCACGGGUGCGUAACGCGUGGGAACCUGCCCUUAUGUUCGGAAUAACUCCCCGUAAGGGGUGCUAAUACCGGUUAAUUUCUUCGGACCAAAGAUUUAUCGCCUUUGGAUGGGCCCGCGUUGUAUUAGCUAGUUGGUAGGGUAAAAGCAUACCAAGGCGACGAUCCAUAGCUGGUCUGAGAGGAUAAUCAGCCACACUGGGACUGAGACACGGCCCAGACUCCUACGGGAGGCAGCAGUGGGGAAUAUUGGAAAAUGGGCGAAAGCCUGAUCAAGCAAUGCCGCGUGAGUGAUGAAGGCCUUAGGGUAGUAAAGCUCUUUUACCCGGGAUGAUAAUGACAGUACCGGGAGAAUAAGCUCCGGCUAACUCCGUG
Molecule: ribosomal RNA, 433 nt
Filed under: uncultured bacterium
Lineage: Bacteria
Description: partial 16S ribosomal RNA
Rfam family: Bacterial small subunit ribosomal RNA
Source: RNAcentral